CUGAAUAACCUAGUUGAUCGCAUGGUCUUUGCACCGGCGACGUAUCUUUCAAGUGUCUGCCUUAUCAACUUUCGAUGGUAGUUUAUACGACUACCAUGGUUGUAACGGGUAACGGAGAAUCAGGGUUUGAUUCCGGAGAGGGAGCCUGAGAAAUGGCUACCACAUCCAAGGAAGGCAGCAGGCACGCAAAUUACCCACUCCCGGCACGGGGAGGUAGUGACGAAAAAUAACGAGAUAGUUCACGAUGUGGACUAUCAUCGGAAUGGGUAAAAUUUAAAUCCUUUAACGAGGAUCUAUUGGAGGGCAAGUCUGGUGCCAGCAGCCGCGGUAAUUCCAGCUCCAAUAGCGUAUAUUAAAGUUGUUGCGGUUAAAAAG
Molecule: ribosomal RNA, 375 nt
Filed under: Nematoda sp.
Lineage: Eukaryota; Metazoa; Nematoda
Description: SSU rRNA
Rfam family: Eukaryotic small subunit ribosomal RNA
Source: RNAcentral